This 619-nucleotide unclassified non-coding RNA is filed under the name Hevea brasiliensis (rubber tree). The record is from RNAcentral. Lineage: Eukaryota; Viridiplantae; Streptophyta; Magnoliopsida; Malpighiales; Euphorbiaceae.
UCUGCUCUUGCAAUUUCUUGUGAUCAAGUUCAAGGUCUUCAAAUUUUCUUGCAGUUUCCUCCAGCUUCUCUUUUGUGAGCGACAAUUCAUCCUUUAACUUCACGUUUUGAGAUUCAGUGUCUUUUAAUGAACCAGCAACUCUUUCCAAUUCAAGCUCAAGUUCUUUAGCCUUUUCUUCUGCUUCAAGAUAUUCUCUGCUAGAAGCUGAAAUAUUUGAACUGCGGUCCAUUACAGACACUUUGCCCUCUGCAUGAGAAGCUUCAGCUGCAGCAUCUGAACCAUCCUUUGAUUCCAAAGCUUCCUUCUCUACUUUUAUAAACUCUCCGUCAAAAGCAGACUCUUCGUGCUCCGUCUGACCUAUCUCGCCAUUGGACACCUUAAUAAGAUCUUCUUUGCCGCCCUCUAUCUUUUCUGAAACCUGUACCACUGGUACAUCUGUGGUUGCUGUCUCUGCUUCCAUGUCAAAAUAAUUUCACCUUGUGAAGUUGUUUAAGUAUCUGAGGGCGAGAGAGGAUUUUGAUUUGAUUUUUAGGUGCUUUGCUUUUUUGGAGUUAAGCUUUUGUUUGUGUUUUGAAGUUGGAAAAAGUGUGAAUCAAAGAGAGAGAGAUGAGCAGAAAUU